This 71-nucleotide transfer RNA is filed under the name Stegodyphus mimosarum. It matches the Rfam family "tRNA". Rfam says of the family: Transfer RNA (tRNA) molecules are approximately 80 nucleotides in length. The record is from Rfam by way of RNAcentral. Lineage: Eukaryota; Metazoa; Arthropoda; Arachnida; Araneae; Eresidae.
GCCUUCGUGGUGUAACGGUAGCACACUCGGCGCAUAUUUGAGAGAUCCAGGUUCGAGUCCCGGCGAGUGCA